RNAcentral lists this unclassified non-coding RNA (214 nucleotides) under plant metagenome. Its description in RNAcentral is "partial contains small subunit ribosomal RNA, internal transcribed spacer 1, and 5.8S ribosomal RNA". The record is from RNAcentral.
UCUCCGCUGGUGAACCAGCGGAGGGAUCAUUACCAGAGUUUUACAACUCCCAACCCUUCUGUGAACCUACCUAUCGUUGCUUCGGCGGACUCGCCCCAGCGUCCGGACGGCCCCGCGCCGGAGGACCCAAACUCUUGUUUAAACCAUAGUGGCAUAUUCUGAGUCUCACAAGAAAAAUGAAUCAAAACUUUCGACAACGGAUCUCUUGGCUCUG